UCCUACGGGGGGCAGCAGUGAGGAAUAUUGGUCAAUGGGAGAGAUCCUGAACCAGCCAAGCCGCGUGAGGGAAGACGGCCCUAUGGGUUGUAAACCUCUUUUGUCGGAGAACAAAACCCGGGACGUGUCCCGGACUGCGUGUAUCCGAAGAAAAAGCAUCGGCUAACUCCGUGCCAGCAGCCGCGGUAAUACGGAGGAUGCGAGCGUUAUCCGGAAUGAUUGGGCGUAAAGGGUGCGUAGGCGGCCUGCUAAGUCUGGAGUGAAAGGUACCGGCUCAACCGGUACAGGCUCUGGAAACUGGCGGG
This 305-nucleotide ribosomal RNA is filed under the name uncultured bacterium. RNAcentral's name for it is "bacterial SSU rRNA". It matches the Rfam family "Bacterial small subunit ribosomal RNA", at positions 337 to 640 of the family's 1533-position model. The record is from RNAcentral.